UUGGAGGGCAAGUCUGGUGCCAGCAGCCGCGGUAAUUCCAGCUCCAAUAGCGUAUAUUAAAGUUGUUGCAGUUAAAAAGCUCGUAGUUGAAUUUCGGGAUUGACGUGAUGGUCAUGCCUUAAGGGGUAUGAACUGUUACUGUUGAUUUCUCACCUUCUGGAGAAACUUGAUGUCCUUUAUUGGGUGUCUUGCGGAUCCAGGACCUUUACCUUGAAAAAAUUAGAGUGUUUAAAGCAGGCAUUUUUUGCUCGAAUACAUUAGCAUGGAAUAAUAGAAUAGGACGGCAUGGUUCUAUUUCGUUGGUUUCUAGGAUCACCGUAAUGAUUAAUAGGGAUAGUUGGGGGCAUUAGUAUUCAAUUGUCAGAGGUGAAAUUCUUGGAUUUAUUGAAGACUAACUACUGCGAAAGCAUUUGCCAAGGAUGUUUUCAUUAAUCAAGAACGAAAGUUAGGGGAUCGAAGACGAUCAGAUACCGUCGUAGUCUUAACCAUAAACUAUGCCGACUAGGAAUCAGACGAUGUUAAUUUUUUAAUGACUCGUUCGGCGCCUUACGGGAAAC
RNAcentral lists this ribosomal RNA (557 nucleotides) under uncultured Glomeromycotina. RNAcentral describes it as "SSU rRNA". It matches the Rfam family "Eukaryotic small subunit ribosomal RNA", at positions 548 to 1098 of the family's 1831-position model. The record is from RNAcentral. Lineage: Eukaryota; Fungi; Glomeromycota.